Molecule: long non-coding RNA, 2305 nt
Organism: Diceros bicornis minor
Lineage: Eukaryota; Metazoa; Chordata; Mammalia; Perissodactyla; Rhinocerotidae
Exons: 4
Source: RefSeq, a predicted model, not a curated record
UCGGCUGCCUCCUGGGUUACUUGUGCCGCCGGCCGGUGCUGCGCUCGCUUUCGCGGUGUGGCGUGUGGAGACUCCACUUUCAGCCUUGCCAAGGAAAGUGAUUAACUCUUGGAGUGACAUCAGCAUCAUGGUGGAGUGACUUAGACUCUCCCCCCUAAGAUACAACAAAAAGGACAUUCAUAUGCCAAUAGAGGACAUUCACACAACACAAAAGAUGUCAGAGAGACCCACGCAGCCAUAUGCCUGAAGGUGGAGGUGCUGGAACCCCUGGAAGAAGUGGAAGGAGGUACCAGCUCUUUUGAUUUGGGAUUGGGGGAGAGCACCUGAUUAUCUGUGUUUUGCAACGUAAGUUAUAAAAUAUUUCUGAGAGAUUAAAAAUUAAAAAAAAAACCCUAAAUAUAUAAAAAAAAAAAUUGGUAUUCCUCACAAUAGGUGAUUUAGCCCAUUUGCAUUUAUUGUGAUUGGUGAUAUACUAGGACACAUUCCUGACAUUUUAUUUUUGCUUUCUGUUUACCAUGGCUUUUCUCUGUUGCUUUAGUUUUCCUUUCCUGUUUUCUAUUGGAUUUACAGUUCUCUUCAUUCCCUUUUUUCUCUUUAGUGAUUUGCUGCAACAUAGUCUAUUUCUUUUAGUGAUUAGCCUAGAAUUUUUAACAUGCAUAUUCAACAAAGUAUAAAGUUAGUAUCUCUAUCCUUUCCCAGAACAGGGACUUGACAACACUUUAACCCUGAUUCCUCCCAUUUUUCCAAUGUUAUUACGUAGUAUAUUCAUUUCACCUAUUUCUAGUCCUCUUCCAAAUCAGUAAUUAUUUAAAUUACUUACACUCAACAUAAAUUCAAAUUUACCAACAUGUUUACAAUUUGUUUUAUCAUCAGUGCCUCUUGCGUUCUACUCUUUCCUUCUCGAGUGGCUGAUGUUAAUGAUGCUUUUCUCAGGAAAAUGAGAUUUCAGAUUAAUGGUCAUACCUAUAGCUUUAAGUAUAGAAGUACUUUGCCCACAAAUGUGUCUGAGGCUGAAAGAAAACAUAUUAAACAUAUUAUUUGAAAAUAAAAUGUUAUCAUUUAAAAAUUUUCUUGCUGCAUUAUUUACAAUAGCCAAGACAUGGAAGCAACCUAAAUGUCCAUUGAUGGAUGAAUGGAUAAUGAAAUUGUGGAUUAUCUAUACAAUGCCAUAAAAAGGAAGGAAAUCUUGCCAUUUGUAACAUCAUGGAUGGACCUUGAGAGCACUAUGCUAAGUGAAAUGUCAGACAGAGAAAGACAAAUACCAUAUGAUCUCUUAUAUGUGGAAUCUAAAAAAAAAUAAAACAAAAACCAAACUCGUAGAUACAAAGAACAGGUUGGUGGUGGCCAGAGGCAGGAAGUGGGUGGUGGGCAAAAUGGGUGGUGGUCAAAAGGUACAAAAUUCCAGUUAUAAAAUAAAUGUCAUGGAGAUGUAACGUACAGCAUGGUGACUAUAAUUAAUAAUACUGUAUUGUAUAUUUGAAAGUUGCUAAGAGAAUAAAUCUUAAAAGUUCUCAUCACAAGAAAAAAUUUUUGUGACUGUGUGGUGAUGGACAUUAACUAGACUUACUGUGGUGAACAAUUUUUUUUUUUUGGUGAGGAAGAUCAGCCCUGAGCUAACAUCCGAUGCCAAUCCUCCUCUUUGCUGAGGAAGAUUGGCCCUGGGCUAACAUCCAUGCCCAUCUUCCUCUACCCUAUAUGGGACGUUGCCACAGUCUGGGGUGACAAGUGGUGUGUCAGUGCAUGCCCAGGAUCCGACCUGCAAACCCUGGGCCACUGAAGGGGAGUGCGCACUUAACCGCUGCGCCACCAGGCCGGGCCCGCUGUGGUGAAUAUUUUACGAUACAUACAAAUAUCAAAUCAUGUUGUACAGCUGAAACUAAUAUAAUGUUAUGUGUCAAUUAUAUCUCAAUGAAAGAAAAGAUAAAUUAAGCAAUAUAUUUUUUAAAAAGAAAAAAAUAUGUUCAAGAAAGUAAGACACUAAAAUAACUUGUGAUCACAGGAAUAAUUAACAACACAGGGUCUUGGCAGAGAUAAGAGAGUCUUCCAAUUAUGUGUAAAUAUCUAGUGCUCCUUGUAACCCUAUUUUAUUCAAUAAUGUAUAUGAUGUAUUAUAAAAAGAACUUUAAAUUCACUUGAUUACUUAAAAAUAAUUUACAUACUCAAUUAUUAGUAGACAUGAUUUUCUGCACUCCUCCAAAUUAAUCUCAGAAUGUUGCUGCUGACCUGUGCAUUUGCAUAUGUACAACAGCGCAGCCCAGUUUUUCCUUCUCAAAUGUGAGCUAUAGACCCAUGAAUUAUAUUUGAA